Molecule: ribosomal RNA, 395 nt
Filed under: uncultured bacterium
Lineage: Bacteria
Description: bacterial SSU rRNA
Rfam family: Bacterial small subunit ribosomal RNA
Source: RNAcentral
GUGUCAGCAGCCGCGGUAAUACGUAGGAUGGUUUGCUCGAGAGGAUUUAUUGGGCGUAAAGCGAACGUAGGCGGUUUCCUAAGUUCGGGGUUAAAGACCGAGGCUCAACCUCGGGAGUGCCCUGGAUACUGGGAGACUGGAGGACGGCAGAGGAAAGUGGAAUUCCCAGUGUAGCGGUGAAAUGCGUAGAUAUUGGGAGGAACACCAGUGGCGAAAGCGACUUUCUGGGCCGUUCCUGACGCUGAGGUUCGAAAGCGUGGGGAGCAAACAGGAUUAGAUACCCUGGUAGUCCACGCCGUAAACGAUGGAUACUAGGUGUCAUCGGUAUCAACCCCGGUGGUGCCGUAGCUAACGCGUUAAGUAUCCCGCCUGGGGAGUACGGUCGCAAGGCUGAA